UACGGGGGGGGCAAGCGUUGUUCGGAAUUACUGGGCGUAAAGGGUUCGUAGGUGGCCAACUACGUCAGACGUGAAAUCCCUCAGCUUAACUGGGGAACUGCGUCUGAGACUGGAUGGCUUGAGUGCAGGAGAGGAACGCGGAAUUCCAGGUGUAGCGGUGAAAUGCGUAGAUAUCUGGAGGAACACCGGUGGCGAAGGCGGCGUUCUGGACUGCUACUGACACUGAGGAACGAAAGCCAGGGGAGCAAACGGG
RNAcentral lists this ribosomal RNA (253 nucleotides) under uncultured bacterium. RNAcentral's name for it is "partial 16S ribosomal RNA". It matches the Rfam family "Bacterial small subunit ribosomal RNA", at positions 524 to 776 of the family's 1533-position model. The record is from RNAcentral.